Molecule: non-coding RNA, 125 nt
Organism: Triticum aestivum (bread wheat)
Lineage: Eukaryota; Viridiplantae; Streptophyta; Magnoliopsida; Poales; Poaceae
Source: Rfam
UAUAUACUCCCUCCGUUCGGAAAUACCUGUCGAGAAAAUGGAUGUACCUAGAUGUAUUUUAGUUCUAGAUACAUCCAUUUUUAUUCAUUUUGGCGACAAGUAAUUCCGGACGGAGGGAGUAGUUU